UGCCUACGGGAGGCAGCAGUGGGGGAUAUUGCACAAUGGGCGCAAGCCUGAUGCAGCGACGCCGCGUGGAGGAAGAAGGUUUUCGGAUUGUAAACUCCUGUCUUCAGGGACGAUAAUGACGGUACCUGAGGAGGAAGCCACGGCUAACUACGUGCCAGCAGCCGCGGUAAUACGUAGGUGGCAAGCGUUGUCCGGAAUUACUGGGUGUAAAGGGAGCGUAGGCGGGACAGCAAGUCCAGUGUGAAAUCUAUCGGCUCAACCGAUAGCUGCGCUGGCAACUGUGGUUCUUGAGUGAAGUAGAGGCA
RNAcentral lists this ribosomal RNA (305 nucleotides) under uncultured bacterium. Its description in RNAcentral is "bacterial SSU rRNA". It matches the Rfam family "Bacterial small subunit ribosomal RNA", at positions 335 to 659 of the family's 1533-position model. The record is from RNAcentral.